Long non-coding RNA from Apis dorsata (giant honeybee), 1437 nucleotides. RefSeq lists it as uncharacterized. Lineage: Eukaryota; Metazoa; Arthropoda; Insecta; Hymenoptera; Apidae. The record is from RefSeq and is a predicted model, not a curated record. The transcript is spliced from 2 exons.
UAGUUUUAAAUUAAACAAUCAAGGAUAUAAAAAAAUUAAGGAAUAAACGAUGAGAUAUUUUAUUAUUUACGAAACUCUAAAUUUUCUCUUCCUCGUUCUUCUAUGGGCCAAGGGAUUAAAAAUUAAUGACCAUUUUAACGGUAGCUGUAUAAGUAGUGGGUUAAAGAUACGAGACAAGUGCUCGAGUUAAGUAAGAUUCUCUAACCUUUUCACAGCCACUUCCGUUCCACUAAUGUGGCUUCCGACCAUUCGAGCUAUCCACGAUCAAAUAUAUCGUCGAAUUUCUAUUUCCAUUUUCAUCCUAUUCUUCGAAAUUAGGUUCGAACAGAUGGCAAAUCCGAUCAUUAAACAUGUAACAAAUCCUAUUUAAUGGAAAGCAUAUAAUGAUCGUCAAUGAAUUAAAUAUAAAGUGCGAAUUAAGAAGACAGAAAAUGAUCCAGAUAAUCGUGAAAUGAGGUAAUUAAUCAAUACAGUAAGGAUUAUGGAAAUUAGUAUUCAAUAGCACGAGACUGCAUGAUCUAAUAUAAGACCUCCAUAACAUUGCAAUCGAUAUUAGGUGUAACGAUGAAGAUGACCAUCCGAUAUCCCAAGUCUGUUGAACAUGAUAUUCCCUUCUAGUUGUGUAACAGAUACCAGAAACACUAAUCGUGGAAUCCAUCUAUUUGAUCACCAAAAUUAGGAAUAUGCUUUGGUAACCAAAUAAAAAUUUAUGUUUUGUAUUAUCAAAGAUAUUCAAAAGCUAUAUAUUUUAUUACCAGUAUUUUAUAUAGGUAUUAAAAUCACAUACGAAUGUUUUAUUUAAUUAUCAUUUGAUUUUAUUUUUCCAUUAAUUUAACGUUAUAAUAUUAACUGAAAUUUAAUUUCAGGUAUCCUUCUUAAUGACUUUUUAAGAGCCAUAUUAAAUAGUUAGAAGAGCCACGUGUGAAUCACGAGUUUGGUUAUCGUGCUUUAUAUUAAUUUACACGAAGAUUCUAAAUUUUAUGAAUUAAUUAAGAUUCUGUAUGGUAUAAUGAAACUUGAUAUUAAAGUUGAUGUAAGGUUUGAAAUUAAAUCAAUUGAAACAGGUGAUUCAGAUGAAACAUUAUAUUCAACAAUGAUCUCGUUGAAUAUACGAGAAGUUAUUACAACCCUUAUAAUCAUCCUCAUCGAAAAUCAAAACGAUACUGCAAUAUAAUUAUAUCAAACUUUCAAGAAUCAUAGAAGAAUCGUCUUAAGGAACAUCUCGGAAAACUUUAAAAACACGAAAACGUAGAACCUUCGAAUCCCUUGAUAGCCCUGGAACCUCUGGAUAGCUUCGAAUCCUCUGAGAACCUUGGAAUUUCCAGAUGGAGCUCUCGAAAUGGCUCUGUGUCCCUCGAUACCUUUAAAACUACGUUAUAGGAAUAGCUCUUCAAUUAUGGAUUCUUUUUCUUUCUUUAAAUCUCUGUUAUAUUUUUU